CAACAACUCUCAGCAACGGAUAUCUUGGCUCCUGCAACGAUGAAGAACGCAAS
RNAcentral lists this ribosomal RNA (53 nucleotides) under Campylopus lamellatus. Its description in RNAcentral is "partial 5.8S ribosomal RNA". It matches the Rfam family "5.8S ribosomal RNA", at positions 1 to 49 of the family's 154-position model. From Rfam's summary of the family: 5.8S ribosomal RNA (5.8S rRNA) is a component of the large subunit of the eukaryotic ribosome. It is transcribed by RNA polymerase I as part of the 45S precursor that also contains 18S and 28S rRNA. The record is from RNAcentral. Lineage: Eukaryota; Viridiplantae; Streptophyta; Bryopsida; Dicranales; Leucobryaceae.